This 372-nucleotide ribosomal RNA is filed under the name uncultured organism. Its description in RNAcentral is "partial 16S ribosomal RNA". It matches the Rfam family "Bacterial small subunit ribosomal RNA", at positions 527 to 896 of the family's 1533-position model. The record is from RNAcentral.
GUAGGUGGCAAGCGUUGUCCGGAAUUAUUGGGCGUAAAGCGCGCGCAGGCGGUUCUUUAAGUCUGAUGUGAAAGCCCACGGCUCAACCGUGGAGGGUCAUUGGAAACUGGAGAACUUGAGUACAGAAGAGGAAAGCGGAAUUCCACGUGUAGCGGUGAAAUGCGUAGAGAUGUGGAGGAACACCAGUGGCGAAGGCGGCUUUCUGGUCUGUAACUGACGCUGAGGCGCGAAAGCGUGGGGAGCAAACAGGAUUAGAUACCCUGGUAGUCCACGCCGUAAACGAUGAGUGCUAAGUGUUAGGGGGGUCUCCGCCCCCUUAGUGCUGCAGCUAACGCAUUAAGCACUCCGCCUGGGAGUACGGCCGCAAGGCUG